Molecule: ribosomal RNA, 253 nt
Filed under: uncultured bacterium
Lineage: Bacteria
Description: partial 16S ribosomal RNA
Rfam family: Bacterial small subunit ribosomal RNA
Source: RNAcentral
UACGAAGGGGGCUAGCGUUGCUCGGAAUCACUGGGCGUAAAGCGCACGUAGGCGGCUUUUUAAGUCAGGGGUGAAGUCCUGGAGCUCAACUCCAGAACUGCCUUUGACACUGAAGAUCUUGAGUUCGGGAGAGGUGAGUGGAACUGCGAGUGUAGAGGUGAAAUUCGUAGAUAUUCGCAAGAACACCAGUGGCGAAGGCGGCUCACUGGCCCGAUACUGACGCUGAGGCACGAAAGCGUGGGGAGCAAACAGG